GAUGAAGAACGUAGUGAAAUGCGAUACGUAAUGUGAAUUGCAAAUUCAGUGAAUCAUCGAAUCUUUGAACGCACAUUGCGCCCGCCAGUAUUCUGGCGGGCAUGCCUGUUCGAGCGUCAUUUCAACCAUCAAGCCCCCGGCUUGUGUUGGGGACCUGCGGCUGCCGCAGGCCCUGAAAACCAGUGGCGGGCUCGCUAGUCACUCCGAGCGUAGUAAUACAUCUCGCUCAGGGCGUGCUGCGGGUUCCGGCCGUUAAAAAGCCUUAUUUACCCAAGGUUGACCUCGGAUCAGGUAGGAAGACCCGCUGAACUUAAGCAUAUCAAUAAGCGGAGGA
Molecule: unclassified non-coding RNA, 334 nt
Filed under: soil metagenome
Description: partial contains 5.8S ribosomal RNA, internal transcribed spacer 2, and large subunit ribosomal RNA
Rfam family: 5.8S ribosomal RNA (bases 1-119)
Source: RNAcentral